Molecule: long non-coding RNA, 1409 nt
Filed under: Monodelphis domestica (gray short-tailed opossum)
Lineage: Eukaryota; Metazoa; Chordata; Mammalia; Didelphimorphia; Didelphidae
Description: lncRNA (ENSMODG00000048056.1)
Source: RNAcentral
GCCAUCACUGUUCUAGGUGCUUUACAAAUAGUAUCUCAAAGGGAAAAAAGUGUGAAAAAUGCCCUAGAGAGUAGAAGGUAAUUCAAAGGGAGACUCACAGAUGCAGAAUAGUUUUGAAGCUAAAAUAUUGAAUUUAUUAUUUUCUUUAAAACAAAAAAAUACCAACAGAGAUUCAUGGUUCAUUUAUAAUCUUCUUCUCAUCUUUAUAUGUGAGAAUAUUUGUUUAUUGACAUUUGUCAAGUUCAUAAUAAGAUUUAUAAACAAUAAUGACCACAGUACAAUAUUAUAGUCAGUGGUUAAAGACAGAGUAUGGAGCUUAGCUUUUGGACUCAAGAGAGGCAGAGUUGACAUUCUGUUGUGAAAGGAAAAACAUUAUAUUCUUGGUUAGAUGGAAAGACAUUUAACAGAGGUGCUUAUAAAUACAGCCAGCCUCUUUUUCUUUUCUCCCCAAGAAAGAAGGUUGAAAUCUCUCCAUUCUUAUACUGUUGAUGAUAUGAAACCCCUAAAUUCUAUAACGGAUAACAUGGAGGAGAAAAUGUCAGCUGGAAAAAUACUUAAGUUAGGUGUUACCAGAUGUCUGCCCCUUUCUAUUAAAGAAGGCUCCUCUAUGUUCAUUAAUGGGGCCCUUGUGUGUAGAUUUCCUCCAGAAAAAGAAAUCUUGAAGAAAACCUACCUCAACCAUUUAAUUUUACAUACAAAGAGAUCUUACUGUUCAGAGAAGGUCUUUAUCUGCUUCUUCUCCCUUUUCCAGUCUCCAUCAAUUGCCAUGCCUGCCGUCAGGAUGGGGAUGGGAGUGAGGAAUACAGCUCAUAUACCCUGAAUGUAUAAAACCAUCCAUCCUACACUCCAAGCCCUUCAUGUAGGAAAAGUAUCCAGCUGUAUCUUUAUGCUUAGAUAAAAGCCAUUCCCUGGCCAUUUUGCUAUCUAGAAUUCUUGUCCAUCUUGGAUAUUAGAACAUGGGUCCCUAUGCCUGCCUAUUCUGACUUAGAAUUCUUUUGUGUCUUACAGUUUGGCUUGAUAUACUUCAUUCAGAUCAUAACUUCUUGCCUAGGUUUCAUAGUAGUCUUCCAAUUCCUUUUUAUUCAAAGGGGUUGUCUGGCUAUGACUGAUAGCUAUUCAGUUUGAUGUUCUUUCCUAGUUUAUUUGCUCCUUGGAUAUUCUAGAUUUACCUCUCAGGAUCAGGCUCAAACUGAAGGGAAAAGCAAGGAAUGAGAGAGUUUUUGCCCAUUUGUAAAGAAUGUAAACUAUUUGAGGGUAGGUUCUGUUCUCACUUUCCUUUUUUUCAUCAGCAUUUAAUCUAGUUCCUGGCACCCAGUAAGUAUUUAAUUAAUAUUUGUAGCCUUGAAUUGUAAAUGGUGAGAGAGAUUUGCUUUUCUAAAAGAAGAAUAAAGAACCAUCUCCUUCUACCA